UUGGCCUGGCGAAGGGUUACGAAGUGAAGGAACAUCUGGGUAACGAGUUCUCUGAGCUGAGUUUUAGGCUCGCCAUGUUUCUUGAUGGAGAGCAUCUUGGUGACGAUCUCCUCCACAGAACUUUUGCUUUCUCGGAGCAUUUCGUAGGGAGACAUUUUGCCAGUAUCGCUGUCUGACGGCAGGGGCUCGGGCUCGUCUUCUAUGAGCAUUCCCUCCUCUAUCUCCUCG
This 228-nucleotide unclassified non-coding RNA is filed under the name Hevea brasiliensis (rubber tree). The record is from RNAcentral. Lineage: Eukaryota; Viridiplantae; Streptophyta; Magnoliopsida; Malpighiales; Euphorbiaceae.